Molecule: long non-coding RNA, 407 nt
Organism: Apus apus (common swift)
Lineage: Eukaryota; Metazoa; Chordata; Aves; Apodiformes; Apodidae
Exons: 3
Source: RefSeq, a predicted model, not a curated record
UGCACAGCUCUUGGGCGAGUAAAAUUCCACUAUUGGCAUAAAAAUGAUGCAACAGAAUAACCCGUCUGACUCUGCCCUGUUUCAGUUCGAGUGCUAUUAACAAAGUCUUUAACAAAUUAAGGGCCGCAGGACAAGAAGGCAUUUCAGUAGUCUUACAGUGACUUCCCAGAGUACUAAGAACAUAUGCAAUAUUUUGAAGACUAUAGCUGCACCUACAGCUCUUGGACACACCAGUGACACUUGCACUUAUCUCAGACGCACAACAAAGUGGGAGUGAGCAUGGUACAGUAAGCAUGGACUUUGCAAAACCAACUUAAACAUACACACUCUCUUACAAAAGGUACUAUAACAAAAAUACCAAUUAACAACAGAAAUAAUGAGGGGUACUACUGCAAAAUUGUAGAUGA